Molecule: long non-coding RNA, 501 nt
Organism: Mauremys mutica (yellowpond turtle)
Lineage: Eukaryota; Metazoa; Chordata; Testudines; Geoemydidae
Exons: 3
Source: RefSeq, a predicted model, not a curated record
CCCGGAAGUGACCAACAGGUACGGCUCCUAGACGGGGGCCCCACAGGGCUAUGCGUGCUGCUCCUGCCCCAAGCACCAGCUCCACACUCCCAUUGGCCAGUUUCUGGCCAAUGGGAACUGGGGAUGCAGUGCCUGCGGGUGAGGCACAGAGCUUCCUGUCUGUGCCCCCCCGCACCUAGGACCCAGACCUGCUGGUUGCUUCCGGGGUGCAGGGUGUUGCCAGAACAGGCAGGGAGCCUGCAUUAGCCCUGCUGUGCCACUAACGGGAGCCGCCCAAGAACAAGAUGCUGCUAUGUGCUGGAACACAUGAAGAAGCCAGGCUUUGAGAUGCAGAACCUGGAGACUCGGGUGGAGGUGUGACCCUCGUUCUGUGACAGGAGUAGGACCUUCAGCAAUAGAGAGAACAGGGAAAGGCGUAAGGAAAGCCCUUGUCCCAAGGAAGGAAGAGAACAUCUCCCUUGGAGUGACGUACAAUCCCUGCUCUGGAGCAGUACCGCAGAC